AGCACCUCCCUCCCUCGCCCCUCUCCUUUCGCAUCUCUUCCUCUCCUCGACCCUCCCGUCUGGUGUGCCGCCGCCCCAAUCUAGAGUCACGGUGUUCCCUUUCCCGAUCUUGACCUUAAUCUCUGACGGCUUCAACCUAUGGCGGAUCGUAGGUACACCACCAUUACCGGCUGGUUGGCCCUUGAAGCUCGAGCCCCUUCUCCUCGACUCUGUGAUGCCCUUCCGCAUCUAAUGUCGUCACGCUGGACAAACCCGCUGUGCUGGAUGAGGAACCCUAAACCCUAAAUGCUUUCCACGCGGGUGGUCAAGCCUGUAGACCUGUUCAAGCCCGGACCGCCCCCGACAACAGUGCCAGUGUCCCGGUGGUUUGCCGCGGCGCCUCCCCACUGGCUUAGGUUUACUCUCAUGAAGAGGACCUUGAUGCACCUCUCCAUCGUGAUGCCGUGAGGGGACGAUAAUGGCUCGAUGACGCCGAGGAGAGCAAUAUCAAAUAAAACUUUUCCCCUUGAUCUACGUCAAGAAAAAAUGCGUAGGAAGCUGAGGUAUUUGAGUCUCAGUUAACAAGGAGGAAAUAUUCUUCAUGCCUCGAGCAUUGUUAGGUUCUGACAGUGACAACAUAUUUUAUAGUGUAAAUGGAGGUAACCACAUAAUUAGACAUGUACCGGUAGUUUGCUAUCAUUAUCUGUGUUCCUCUCAGCACAUGGUGCUUUAAGCUGCUUCGAUCAUCUAUCUGUGAAUCUAGCAAAAUAUAGCUUUUGUACUGAUGCUUUUCCAUGCUCACUUGUAUGUACAGAUCUAAAAGCCACGAACCGAGGUACAUCAUCCCCCCUUUUUGGGUGUCUACUAGCCUUUUGCUAUCCUGGGUGGCAUUGAGUAAAGUCUGCCCCAUAUUUGCUGCAGAUAGACGGGUACAUGUUGUAUCCCCCUGAAUGUGUUCCUUGAUAUUUUAGAAUGAUGCUUCACAGGUCCAUGUAGGUACAGGAAAACCCGUUCCUUCAUUUUGAACAAUCCACACAACUCAAUAUAUAUACUCCUGGUGAACUCAUUUAUGCAAGAGGAAUUCAUAAAUGUAGUUGAUAGGAAAAAGCAUGCCAUGUACCCGAUGUUGUUCCAUGGUGGCAUGCAGCUACCGUAGCUUUACCCUAGGCUACCCCAUGUGGCUCGAAUCAUUUAGUCGCUCUUUUAGCUAGGCCCUUGGGAGGUGAUGAUCUCAUUGAAUAUCAUCGUUGCCUAGGUAUAUUGCAGGCCAGCUGUGGAUAUAUGGUGACUUGCACGGUGCGAUAUGGCCUUCAAGUGGGAGUAAUGUGUUUGGCUAUUCGUAAUGCAUGGGCGGGUGUAGAUUAUCCUACUUGUCAUUUCUGAUCCUAGCUGUGUACUAAUUGAUGAUAUGUUGAUGUGACCCGACUAGACGGCGAGUCGUUCCUAGGUCCAAUCUUUCUCGAUACUCAAUGAAUUAGCAAGAACGUCGACGAACGAUCAUCACACCAGCAGCAGCGUAUGUAGAAGUAGUAAUACGGCUCUUCGGAUCAAGCAAAGACGCAAGAAGACCAAAGAACGAAAAAAACUUGCGCAAGAAUUCGACCGAAUCAAAUCCUAUGUGUAGCAGCUAUGAAAUCCCUCACGGAUCAGCAAACACAAGGAUUUUUGGUGCAUCCAAACGUGAUGCGUU
Molecule: long non-coding RNA, 1669 nt
Organism: Triticum aestivum (bread wheat)
Lineage: Eukaryota; Viridiplantae; Streptophyta; Magnoliopsida; Poales; Poaceae
Exons: 3
Source: RefSeq, a predicted model, not a curated record